Molecule: ribosomal RNA, 863 nt
Filed under: uncultured beta proteobacterium
Lineage: Bacteria; Pseudomonadati; Pseudomonadota; Betaproteobacteria
Description: bacterial SSU rRNA
Rfam family: Bacterial small subunit ribosomal RNA
Source: RNAcentral
UGCAAGUCGAGCGGCAGCGCGGGGGCAACCCUGGCGGCGAGCGGCGAACGGGUGAGUAAUACAUCGGAACGUGUCCCGUAGUGGGGGAUAGCUCGGCGAAAGCCGGAUUAAUACCGCAUAUGCUCUACGGAGGAAAGCGGGGGAUCCGCAAGGACCUCGCGCUAUGGGAGCGGCCGAUGUCCGAUUAGCUUGUUGGUGGGGUAACGGCCUACCAAGGCGACGAUCGGUAGCUGGUCUGAGAGGAUGAUCAGCCACACUGGGACUGAGACACGGCCCAGACUCCUACGGGAGGCAGCAGUGGGGAAUUUUGGACAAUGGGGGAAACCCUGAUCCAGCCAUGCCGCGUGAGUGAAGAAGGCCUUCGGGUUGUAAAGCUCUUUUGGUCGGAAAGAAAAGGCUACGGACAAUACCCGUGGUCCUUGACGGUACCGGCAGAAUAAGCACCGGCUAACUACGUGCCAGCAGCCGCGGUAAUACGUAGGGUGCGAGCGUUAAUCGGAAUUACUGGGCGUAAAGCGUGCGUAGGCGGUCCCGCAAGUCCGCUGUGAAAGCCCCGGGCUCAACCUGGGAAUGGCAGUGGAAACUAUGGGACUUGAAUCUGGCAGAGGGGGGUGGAAUGCCACGUGUAGCAGUGAAAUGCGUAGAGAUGUGGCGGAACACCGAUGGCGAAGGCAGCCCCCUGGGCUGAGAUUGACGCUCAGGCACGAAAGCGUGGGGAGCAAACAGGAUUAGAUACCCUGUAGUCCACGCCCUAAACGAUGACAACUAGGUGUUGGGGAAGCGAUUUCUCAGUACCGCAGCUAACGCGUGAAGUUGUCCGCCUAGGGAGUACGGUCGCAAGAUUAAAACUCAAAGGAAUUGAC